RNAcentral lists this unclassified non-coding RNA (430 nucleotides) under soil metagenome. RNAcentral describes it as "partial contains 5.8S ribosomal RNA, internal transcribed spacer 2, and large subunit ribosomal RNA". The stretch from base 1 to 120 matches the Rfam family "5.8S ribosomal RNA", at positions 35 to 154 of the family's 154-position model. The record is from RNAcentral.
GAUGAAGAACGCAGCGAAAUGCGAUACGUAAUGUGAAUUGCAGAAUUCAGUGAAUCAUCGAAUCUUUGAACGCAUAUUGCGCUCUCUGGUAUUCCGGAGAGCAUGCUUGUUUGAGUAUCAGUAAACACCUCAACUCUUUUUUCUUUUUUGAAAUUGGAGCUGGACUUGAGUGAUCCCAACGCUUUCUUCCAAGAAAGUGGCGGGUUGCUUGAAAUGCAGGUGCAGCUGAACUUUUGUCUGAGCUAUAAGCAUAUCUAUUUAGUCUGCCUAAAAAACAGAUUAUUACCUUUGCUGCAGCUAACAUAAAGGAGACUAGUUCUUGUGCAGACUGAUGCAGGAUUCACAGAGACAGCUUCGGCUGACUUUGUAAACUCGAUCUCAAAUCAAGUAAGACUACCCGCUGAACUUAAGCAUAUCAAUAAGCGGAGGA